Andrographis paniculata is the source of this 2407-nucleotide RNA transcript. RefSeq lists it as uncharacterized. The record is from RefSeq and is a predicted model, not a curated record. NCBI's taxonomy places the organism in Eukaryota, Viridiplantae, Streptophyta, Magnoliopsida, Lamiales, Acanthaceae. The transcript has 11 exons.
UUGAGUUUGAAACGGGCUAUUCUUCAAAGCUGAUGAACAAGUCUUAACCUACCCGUUCUCAAUCUUCGCGUGCUAUACAUCAUUCUAGACUGCUGCGGUUAAUUUUUGGCAUUUGAUAGCGACGGUGGUGGUGGUGCUUUGAACGCCAGGCAACAGUCUUCGGUGGCAAUGGCUCUUAGAUUCUAUCUGGAAGCACCACCGAUGAGUGAAAGAUAUAUAUAUAAUAGUUUUUAUAUUAUUUAAUGGUUGAUCAACCUAAACCUCCUUCACACUCGCUUUCAUGGCUUUUUCUGCAGAUUUUAAUUUCUAAUCUCUCCUCGUUCAUCUGAUUUGUUCUUGCUGCUAAUUUCCACUGCGCAUUUUUUUAAUUCAGAUUGUUGAAGAAAUUGUUAGACGUUUAUAAGCUCGACUAUUUUUUUAUGCCGCCUGGAGAAAUCAAGAUCCUUUAUUUCUCGAAAUCCAAUUGCACUUUUAUCCUUGUCAAGAACAAAGGUUAUGGCAAAAACUCAACGAGGUGGCGUAGGAGGGUCCCAAGAUCUGACUGGCUCGCCCGUAAGACAUGUUACCCGGGCAUCCGCACGCAACAGCCCCGUAGAUGGAACUAAUGUAGCUAGCAGGAACCCAUCACCUAUGUGGAAAACUGCAAAAAAAAUGACAAAACGAAAGGGAACGCGGGUCUCACCAUUGCUCCGGCAAAUUCGCUCCAUCACAUCAGAGUGGGAGAAAGGGGGCAAUAUACAUGCUCCCACCAAAUCAACGACAUCGUCUGUUCGACAGGCAGUGCUUCAGGAUUCGCAGGGGCCUGCAGAGGGAUAUCCCAGCUUCCCUUGAACCAAAUGCACCCAUGCAGGAUGAGGAUGAGACAAUACCCCUCACACAAGUAGAUGACGAAACAAUCCCACCGAUGCAAGACAUGGAGACUGCAGAGAGUGAUAUGCCGUUCUUGGAUGGGGAAUUGGGGCCCGACCUUCUGGUGAUGGAAGACACAGAGGCGGGCGAUAUGGCACACACUUGGAUGGGAUAACAUCAGAUGGCGGUUUGGAAAUCAUCCUUGACAUUGGUUCCUCAAAGAAGAAACAGGGAAGGGGGUAGCGAGAAUGCCACAUGGAUGAGGAAAAGAUCACAAGAUGCUUGUAUUUACAUCGACGGAUGGAAAAAGCAUUGUUGGACCUGACGUAAAUGAGUACAAGACUGCUAUUGGGGUUAUUGCGCGCAAUGGAGCUCGACUUCCUCUGCAUUACCAGACAUUUGCUAAAAUACCGGAGACAAAGAGACAGGGUGCAUGGAUGGAGGUUCAGAGCAACAACGGAUUACCAAACUUAGCAGAGAAAGUGGUCUUGGCUGACUUAAGGGAGGUUCGGAGGCAUUGGAAAUACAGCAUCAAAUCAACUUACUUCAUCCCAAUCCAGGAUGAUAACAAAGCAUUGAAAAAGGUUCCUUCAAGCUGGAUUGUGGCUGAUCAAUGGCCGAAGUUGGUCGAGUACUGGCAGGACGAAAAGGUUAAGCUUCAAUCCAAGAAAAAUGCAUCUAACGUACAAAAAAAGAAGCUUCCCGCAUCGUACUGGGCGGAAGUCCUUCACGACUCUCGCCGAUGAGAUCAAGGCGAAGGGGAAGGACCCCGACAGUUUAGAGAUAUGGAUAUCCAGUCGGACACAAGGCAAGGGAACAUACAAUCAACAAACCGAAAAGAUAUUGACAUAUUUGCAGAAUGAGCUAAACAAGAUUCCCCCGGAAGGGUGGACUCCGGCUGUUCGGGAGACUCUUUACCCAUGGGCUGUUGGGGGAAAGAGCAAAAAAUGCUCAAAGGUUGACAGUGCCGCCAGUUCAGCUCAUCUCCGCAGUGAUGCAACUGGUUUAACAGAUAAUGUAGCAUUCCAGCAAAGGUAGGAAGAAAUGCAGAGCGGACUUGCAGAGAUUUUAAGGCAACGAUGGCUGAGUCGAAAACCAUCAAGGCUGAUGUGUAUGCAUUCAUGCACAGAAACUCCGGAGUAGUUAGUGGCCCAUCUGCCACAACUCGUAUUGAUACGGUCUCUGAGCUUCUUAGGCCUGUCUCCGAAUAACCUAUGACGGUUGGCACCCUUGUGCUUAUAUUAUCUCGUACCGGAGAGAAGAAAGUUGUUUCUGAGGGACUUCUGCUUAGCCCCCCUGCACCAAGUUCGUGGCAUUGUGCCUUGAAUUUUUUCUUUGAAUCCUUCAAUAUAAUGUUCAUACUACAUUGUCGAUGUUGUGACCGUACAGGUCUCAUAGUGCAGUUGAUUAUGGUUUUAUUAAGUAUGGAGAUCUUUAAUUUUACAUAUGUAGCAGUUAGAGUAUUUUGUAUAUAUAGAUUGUUAUUGUAGGGACAGUGGCUAUGUUGGUGUAAUGCUGAUUUUUUGCUGAUCUUAUAUUUUUGAUCGCUGACAUGACA